This 30-nucleotide non-coding RNA is filed under the name Homo sapiens (human). Lineage: Eukaryota; Metazoa; Chordata; Mammalia; Primates; Hominidae. The record is from RNAcentral.
UACAUCCACACGAUGGAAUACCAUGGGAUC